GGACCGCUGGCGCAACGGUAGCGCGUUCGACUCCAGCUCGACAUUCGUCGAGGUGCCAUCGAAAGGUUAUCUGUUCAAAUCAGGUGGGGGUCA
RNAcentral lists this transfer RNA (93 nucleotides) under Colletotrichum lupini. Its description in RNAcentral is "tRNA-Trp". It matches the Rfam family "tRNA". Rfam says of the family: Transfer RNA (tRNA) molecules are approximately 80 nucleotides in length. Their secondary structure includes four short double-helical elements and three loops (D, anti-codon, and T loops). Lineage: Eukaryota; Fungi; Ascomycota; Sordariomycetes; Glomerellales; Glomerellaceae. The record is from RNAcentral.